CAACGGCGCAAAUGUACUGUACAAAAUGUACAUAGCGGGCGUCAACUCCCGUACGACGAUGUGUAUCGAGAGUGAGCUGGUACAUAACGUACCACCGGAAUCAAAUACGCGUACCUUGGUAGUGAAGAGUGGUUAUUCAAUUUACUCAACAUUACGCGCUUGACGCCAGACUGCUCGCACCGGGAUUCAUUCAUUUAUAUGUUUCUUAUCACUACCUUCGCAAUACAAAAACACGCACCAAACCAAAUCUGCCGAAAAUGGCGCGUAAUGUACAUAAUUAAAAAGGUAAAUGUAGAAAGGUUUCAAAGAUGAUAACAACUCCACGGUGUUGAACUGCGUAAAUCACAGAAAAUAAUCUACGUCAAGGCACAUCCAAUAUCUCGGAACCUUGCUGUAGUAAACAACGUAUUCUAGUGUUCCUGGACCGUGAAGCGUAGUUCGUGGCCGAGCUACGGUUGCACUAGUGAAGCGCUAAUUGUUUUGCACUCGCUAGCGUUCGAAAGCGGGUGCAUGCAACAAACAAGAGGUGAAGGGAGUUGUCAUGUGGAACAAUUAGGAAAUGGGGUGGUAGUAUAAAACAUUAAAUUUAAUAAUAAAGAUGCACUCCGUACCAAAUUUUACAGAUAAGAUCAAAGUUUUCAAAUACAUUCUUUUGCACUUUUCAGUCUAGAAGUUAUAUAAUUUAAAAUAAUUGAUUUUCACAUUUGGCCAUUUAGUUUCAGAAGGUUACAUGCGAAUGGAUAUUAUUGAGCAGGUGAAUCAUAGAAAACGUAACAUUGGACAAUGGAGGCAGGCAUAUUUCUAAGUCAUUUAAAACUCAUAACAUCCACAGGACAUUUUAGCAAAUUCUGCUAUUUACUUGCUACGAGAUUGGUCCCAAAGAUAAUAAAAGACAAUAUACUGCCAGACAGAUCAUCUUUGUUCGCAGCCACCUAGCUUUAUUGUCGGUGAAUAUGCAAAAAUUGAGAAGCUGACACUGACUAACACAAGAGGAUUACGAUGUCGGUUGUUUCAACGCAGCAGCCAUCUCUUUAAUUAUAUUAAAACCAAUUUACACUUUCCGGUUUUCACUGUGCGCCGUUUCCGAUUCGCUACGCUGCUCAAUUUCGUUGGAAGUGAGAACUAUCCGAUUCACUACUAAGCGCACAAAGUUUAAUCAAGUUUGGCACUUAAACUUCCACCUACCCGAUUAACUGAUAUCGUUUCUUGCAGGGCCGAAAUAUUGCUGCACUCGAUGAUUCCCCUGCUUACGAUGCGAUAUUUAUUGUUUUAGACCGUAUUUGCACAAGUAAAAGAGAUAUUGGGGUCACUUAUUUUAAAAUCAAAAUAUUUUUUCACCUUCGUCACUAUUUUUCACUCGCGAAUAAAGACAAAAAACAA
Molecule: long non-coding RNA, 1380 nt
Organism: Wyeomyia smithii (pitcher-plant mosquito)
Lineage: Eukaryota; Metazoa; Arthropoda; Insecta; Diptera; Culicidae
Exons: 2
Source: RefSeq, a predicted model, not a curated record